AUGUUUCGAAUUGCAUCCUCUUCUUACUCUCAAUUCAUUGCUUCUGCAAACCCAUCAAUCCAAACCAGAUGUAUUUCUAUUGCAAGAAUUGAUCAAAAAAUUAAACGUGGAAAUUCCGAUCGCCGAGUGAUUCACGCCAAGAAGUUCACCAAACAAACCGAUUCACCGGCCUCUGUAGCUGGAGACGGAUUCAUUUUGAGCAAGACGUUUCUUCAAAAUGCGAUUGCUCAUCAGCCGCCGUCUGGAUUGACACCGGUCGGGAGAGAUGGUGGACGGGAUGAAAAGAAGCUUAUAUUGCAUCCAAAAGAAAUCGUCGAGCACCUGAACAAGUACGUGGUUGGCCAGGAAGAAGCCAAGAAGUAUCUGGCAGUUGCUGUCUAUCAGCAUUACCGACGAGUUGAGAACAACCUGAGAGUCACUGAGCAAUGGAUGCUCUCUGAAGCAGUGGCCGCCGCCAAGGAACGUAAGAAGAUGAGAAAACAGAACCCAGAAGAGGAGGAAUACUACCCGGAGUACGUCCAAAAAUCGCAGCGUCAAAUCCUCAAGGAUCUGGAGAAGCGUCAAGACAUGAUACUCGACAAGUCGAAUAUGAUACUUCUCGGAGCAUCCGGCACCGGAAAGACGUUCAUGACUCAGAAGUUAGCUGAAGUUCUGGAUGUUCCGAUUGUGAUCUGUGACUGCACAACGUUGACUCAGGCCGGAUAUGUUGGUGAUGACGUGGAUACGGUGAUUCAAAAGCUGUUGGCCGAGGCGAUGGGCGAUAUUGAGAAGUGUCAGAGGGGUAUUGUGUUUUUGGAUGAAUUUGAUAAGAUCUACACAUCCUCGGAUCCACUGCACACUUCCGGAAAUCGGGAUGUGAGCGGAAAAGGAGUCCAACAAGCCCUUCUGAAACUUGUCGAAGGAAGUCUUGUAAAAGUGAGAGAUCCACUAGCCCCAAACUCGAAAGUCACAAUUGAUACUAGUAACAUUUUGUUCAUCGCAUCCGGAGCAUUCUCGAAUAUCGAGCAUAUCGUUGCGAGACGGAUGGAUAAGAGGUUAGUGACGUCACUCCUCUUCCACUUUCCCCAAUGACGUCACCUUGUCGCAACUUGGCAGGGCGAUUGUAUUUGUCUUCCAUCUAAGCCUUGGCUUCCUAUCCGCAACUUCCCCGCACAAACUUGGCGACCAGGAUACGACGGAAAAGCUUCGUGAUUCGGAUGAAGAGAUCGUCUCGAAAGCCAGAAAUGAAAUGAUUAAGCAGUGUGAUCAAGGGGAUCUCAUAUCAUUCGGGAUGAUCCCGGAACUUGUCGGCCGCUUCCCUGUCAUUGUUCCCUUCCACUGCCUUGACAAGACCCACCUGAUGUCGGUGCUCACGGAGCCCAGAGGAAGUCUGAUUGCUCAAACAAAAAAGUUUUUUGAAAAUGAGAAUGUGGAGCUGAGAUUUUCUCCGGCGGCUAUUGAAGCGAUUGCCGAGAUGGCGGUGAAGAGAAAAACCGGCGCACGAGCAUUGAAAAGUAUUGUGGAGAAAGCAGUGAUGAAUGCGAAGUACGAGGUGCCUGGAUCAGAUGUGAAAUGCGUCGAGAUUACUGACCAAAAUCUGAAAGAUCACAGCUUCACUGUCAUUGAGAAUCAAAAUGUGAUUGGAACUGAGAACACGAAUUGA
Caenorhabditis elegans is the source of this 1642-nucleotide RNA transcript. It is a transcript of the gene named Non-coding transcript of protein-coding gene K07A3.3a, with no coding region annotated. Lineage: Eukaryota; Metazoa; Nematoda; Chromadorea; Rhabditida; Rhabditidae. The record is from RefSeq and is marked reviewed. The transcript is spliced from 9 exons.